UCCAGACUCCUACGGGAGGCAGCAGUGGGGGAUAUUGCACAAUGGGGGGAACCCUGAUGCAGCGACGCCGCGUGGGUGAAGGAGUAUUUCGGUAUGUAAAGCCCUAUCGGCAGGGAAGAAGAAAGACGGUACCUGACUAAGAAGCCCCGGCUAACUACGUGCCAGCAGCCGCGGUAAUACGUAGGGGGCGAGCGUUAUCCGGAUUCACUGGGUGUAAAGGGAGCGUAGACGGAAAGGCAAGUCAGAAGUGAAAACCCAAGGCUCAACCAUGGGACUGCUUUUGAAACUGUCAAACUAGAGUACGGGAGAGGUAAGAGGAAUUCCUAGUGUAGCGGUGAAAUGCGUAGAUAUUAGGAGGAACACCAGUGGCGAAGGCGUCGUACUGGACCGAAACUGACGUUGAGGCUCGAAAGCGUGGGGAGCAAACAGGAUUAGAUACCCCAGUAAAG
RNAcentral lists this ribosomal RNA (449 nucleotides) under uncultured bacterium. RNAcentral describes it as "partial 16S ribosomal RNA". It matches the Rfam family "Bacterial small subunit ribosomal RNA", at positions 330 to 793 of the family's 1533-position model. The record is from RNAcentral.